UGCCAAACGGACUAUCUCCAGACUGUGGCCAUCAAAAUGAGGGUUUCCCUGGGCCCUGGCCCUGCACUCCCUGCCUCUUUGCCUCCUCCCGAGUCUUGUGUACAAGAGUACAGGGUCAUAGCCCAUCCCCACCACCCUCAGGUCCAGACCUGGGAACCAAGGAGGAAGACAGACACGGGAGUAGAUGGAAGUUAACACAGAGAUCCAAACUGGACAAUGUGCAGAGCGUGAGAGGCUUUGGAGCACUCAGCCUUCGCUGGGACAUCAUCAGAGCCCUCCUCCCUUCAAGGCUCAGGGACCUUUGUGGAAGAGGAGGCAGAAAGAUCGUAAGAGCCAGAGAGGAUGGAGGACCUCAAGGAAACAGUGUCCUCCAGGAGGGUCACAACCACUCAAAGGAUGCUGGAUCAUCUGUACUGUUUGAAUGCCAAAGCUAUGCAGAUGUCUUCAUGGAGAUUGCCAGAAGG
Molecule: non-coding RNA, 464 nt
Organism: Peromyscus maniculatus bairdii (prairie deer mouse)
Lineage: Eukaryota; Metazoa; Chordata; Mammalia; Rodentia; Cricetidae
Source: RefSeq, a predicted model, not a curated record